ACAUACGACCAUAUCCACGAGAAAGCACGGGAUCCCGUCCGCUCUCCCCUAGUUAACCUCGUGAGAGCCAGAUCAGCAGCUGGGUCGGUGGCCAACGAAUCCCUGAUGUUGGUUUGUU
This is a ribosomal RNA of Chaetomium globosum CBS 148.51, 118 nucleotides long. The record is from Rfam. Lineage: Eukaryota; Fungi; Ascomycota; Sordariomycetes; Sordariales; Chaetomiaceae.